Centruroides sculpturatus (bark scorpion) is the source of this 244-nucleotide long non-coding RNA. RefSeq lists it as uncharacterized. NCBI's taxonomy places the organism in Eukaryota, Metazoa, Arthropoda, Arachnida, Scorpiones, Buthidae. The record is from RefSeq and is a predicted model, not a curated record. The transcript is spliced from 2 exons.
UUAAAACAUUAAAUAUAUUCAUAUUCAAUAGAAUAAUGGGAUUGUAUUAUUUUUAUAGUUAUAUUAACGAUGUGUUGAUGAUGAAAUUACCGAAGGAAAAGAUAAUAAAUUUAAAAAAUUCUUUAAGGAGUAUUUGCUCCAUGGUAAAACCUUCUGAAUGUCCACCAAAGGAUCAGAUAAAAAUAAUUGAGAAAAAACUUGAAAAAUGUCGUAACCAAGAGAAUAAUCCUGAUAGCAUAAUGUA